RNAcentral lists this ribosomal RNA (177 nucleotides) under uncultured bacterium. Its description in RNAcentral is "partial 16S ribosomal RNA". It matches the Rfam family "Bacterial small subunit ribosomal RNA", at positions 355 to 527 of the family's 1533-position model. The record is from RNAcentral.
UGAGGAAUAUUGCGUCAAUGGGCGAGAGCCUGAACCUGCCACGUUCGCGUGCAGGAAGAAUGUCCUAUGGAUUGUAAACUGCUUUUGUAGGGGAAUAAUUGUAUCCACGUGCUGGAUAUUUGCAUGUACCUUACGAAUAAGGAUCGGCUAACUCCGUGCCAGCAGCCGCGGUAAUCG